RNAcentral lists this ribosomal RNA (490 nucleotides) under uncultured bacterium. RNAcentral describes it as "bacterial SSU rRNA". It matches the Rfam family "Bacterial small subunit ribosomal RNA", at positions 30 to 514 of the family's 1533-position model. The record is from RNAcentral.
AUUGAACGCUGGCGGCAGGCCUAACACAUGCAAGUCGAGCGGAUGAAGAGAGCUUGCUCUCUGAUUCAGCGGCGGACGGGUGGGUAAUGCCUAGGAAUCUGCCUGGUAGUGGGGGACAACGUCUCGAAAGGGACGCUAAUACCGCAUACGUCCUACGGGAGAAAGCAGGGGACCUUCGGGCCUUGCGCUAUCAGAUGAGCCUAGGUCGGAUUAGCUAGUUGGUGAGGUAAUGGCUCACCAAGGCGACGAUCCGUAACUGGUCUGAGAGGAUGAUCAGUCACACUGGAACUGAGACACGGUCCAGACUCCUACGGGAGGCAGCAGUGGGGAAUAUUGGACAAUGGGCGAAAGCCUGAUCCAGCCAUGCCGCGUGUGUGAAGAAGGUCUUCGGAUUGUAAAGCACUUUAAGUUGGGAGGAAGGGUUGUAGAUUAAUACUCUGCAAUUUUGACGUUACCGACAGAAUAAGCACGGCUAACUCUGUGCCAGCAG